RNAcentral lists this ribosomal RNA (407 nucleotides) under uncultured bacterium. RNAcentral describes it as "bacterial SSU rRNA". It matches the Rfam family "Bacterial small subunit ribosomal RNA", at positions 355 to 776 of the family's 1533-position model. The record is from RNAcentral.
UUAGGAAUAUUGGGCAAUGGAGGAAACUCUGACCCAGCAACGCCGCGUGAAGGAAGAAGGUUUUCGGACUGUAAACUUCUGAUCUGAGGGAAAAAGAAAGUGAUGGUACCUCAGGAGAAAGCCACGGCUAACUACGUGCCAGCAGCCGCGGUAAUACGUAGGUGGCGAGCGUUGUCCGGAAUGACUGGGCGUAAAGGGAGCGUAGGUUGCGAUUUAAGUUAGAUGUGAAAGCCCGUGGCUCAACCACGGAACUGCAUUUAAAACUGGGUUGCUAGAGUACAGGAGGGGUAAGCGGAAUUUCUAGUGUAGCGGUGGAAUGCUUAGAUAUUAGGAAGAACACCAGAGGCGAAGGCGGCUUACUGGACUGCAACUGACACUGAGGCUCGAAAGCGUGGGGAGCAAACAGG